This 475-nucleotide ribosomal RNA is filed under the name uncultured Anaerolineaceae bacterium. RNAcentral's name for it is "bacterial SSU rRNA". It matches the Rfam family "Bacterial small subunit ribosomal RNA", at positions 896 to 1382 of the family's 1533-position model. Lineage: Bacteria; Bacillati; Chloroflexota; Anaerolineae; Anaerolineales; Anaerolineaceae. The record is from RNAcentral.
AAACUACAAAGGAAUUGACGGGACCCGCACAAGCAGCGGAGCGUGUGGUUUAAUUCGUUUGCUUACACGAAGAACCUUUACCUGGGUUUUGACAUAUAGGUUGUAGGGAACUGAAAAGGGACCGACCCUUCGGGGAGCCUAUACAGGUGUUGCAUGGCUGUCGUCAGCUCGUGUCGUGAGAUGUUCGGUUAAGUCCGCUAACGAGCGCAACCCUCGUCGUAUGUUAUAUGUGUCAUACGAGACUGCCGGUAAAAGCCGGAGGAAGGUGAGGAUGAUGUCAAGUCAGCAUGACCUUUAUAUCCAGGGCUACACACACGCUACAAUGGUCUGUACAAUGGGUAGCCAAGCCGCGAGGCGGAGCCAAUCCUGAAAGCAGGCCUCAGUUCAGAUUGCAGUCUGCAACUCGACUGCAUGAAGCCGGAGUUGCUAGUAACCGCAGGUCAGCAAUACUGCGGUGAAUACGUUCCCGGGUCUU